Petromyzon marinus (sea lamprey) is the source of this 291-nucleotide non-coding RNA. The record is from RefSeq and is a predicted model, not a curated record. Lineage: Eukaryota; Metazoa; Chordata; Hyperoartia; Petromyzontiformes; Petromyzontidae.
AAAUAAAUAAGCCGGUGCGGUGCGUCGUGAAACAUCGCCACUCGGGGAGACAAAGGCGGCCGGGCGUGGCGCUGACUGACCAAACAGCACUUUCGUAGGCUGUGAGAUGUUGACCACCUCGCCCGGUAUACAGGAGGUCGUGGGUUCCAUCCCGACCCUGACGAUGCCUGCUACUGCUGCUGCUGUAGAUGUGGAGUCUGCGUCUCUCUCAUCAUCAUCAUCACGGUGGCUGUGAGAUGUUGACCACCUCGUCUGUUAUAAAAGAGGUCGUGUGUUUUAUCCCAACCCUGA